RNAcentral lists this transfer RNA (71 nucleotides) under Loxodonta africana (African savanna elephant). It matches the Rfam family "tRNA". Rfam says of the family: Transfer RNA (tRNA) molecules are approximately 80 nucleotides in length. Their secondary structure includes four short double-helical elements and three loops (D, anti-codon, and T loops). Lineage: Eukaryota; Metazoa; Chordata; Mammalia; Proboscidea; Elephantidae. The record is from Rfam by way of RNAcentral.
GCAGUGAUGGUUCAGUGGCAGAAUUCUCACCUUCCAUGCAGGAGACCCAGAUUUGAUUUCUGGCCAGUGCA